AUUGAACGCUGGCGGCAGGCCUAACACAUGCAAGUCGAGCGGAUGAAGGGAGCUUGCUCCUGGAUUCAGCGGCGGACGGGUGAGUAAUGCCUAGGAAUCUGCCUGGUAGUGGGGGAUAACGUCCGGAAACGGGCGCUAAUACCGCAUACGUCCUGAGGGAGAAAGUGGGGGAUCUUCGGACCUCACGCUAUCAGAUGAGCCUAGGUCGGAUUAGCUAGUUGGUGGGGUAAAGGCCUACCAAGGCGACGAUCCGUAACUGGUCUGAGAGGAUGAUCAGUCACACUGGAACUGAGACACGGUCCAGACUCCUAAGGGAGGCAGGCGUGGGGAAUAUUGGAACAUGGGCGAAAGCCUGAUCCAGCCAUGCCGGGUGUGUGAAGAAGGUCUUCGGAUUGUAAAGCACUUUAAGUUGGGAGGAAGGGCAGUAAGUUAAUACCUUGCUGUUUUGACGUUACCAACAGAAUAAGCACCGGCUAACUUCGUG
This 484-nucleotide ribosomal RNA is filed under the name uncultured bacterium. RNAcentral's name for it is "partial 16S ribosomal RNA". It matches the Rfam family "Bacterial small subunit ribosomal RNA", at positions 30 to 507 of the family's 1533-position model. The record is from RNAcentral.